CCUACGGGAGGCAGCAGUGAGGAAUAUUGGUCAAUGGCCGGAAGUCUGAACCAGCCAUGCCGCGUGAAGGUCAGUGCCCUAUGGGCGUUAAACUUCUUUUGUGCGGGAGCAAUAAUGGUCACGUGUGGCCAGACGAGAGUACCGUACGAAGAAGCAUCGGGUAACUCCGUGCCAGCAGCCGCGGUAAUACGGAGGAUUAGAGCGUUAACCGGAUUUAUUGGGUUUUAAGGGUGCGUUGGCGGAUCGUUAAGUUUGUGGUGAAAUUCAGGGGCUAAACCCUUACCCGCCAUUGAAACUGGCGCUCUUGAGUGGAAGAGAAGUAUGCGGAAUGCGUGGUGUAGCGGUGAAAUGCAUAGAUAUCACGCAGAACCCCGAUUGCGAAGGCAGCAUGCCGGCUUCCGACUGACGCUGAGGCACGAAAGCGUGGGGAUCGAACAGGAUUAGAUACCCGUGUAGUC
This 458-nucleotide ribosomal RNA is filed under the name uncultured bacterium. Its description in RNAcentral is "partial 16S ribosomal RNA". It matches the Rfam family "Bacterial small subunit ribosomal RNA", at positions 338 to 795 of the family's 1533-position model. The record is from RNAcentral.